This 401-nucleotide ribosomal RNA is filed under the name bacterium enrichment culture clone ALO1_GLFRUDD03GMO79. Its description in RNAcentral is "bacterial SSU rRNA". It matches the Rfam family "Bacterial small subunit ribosomal RNA", at positions 9 to 410 of the family's 1533-position model. The record is from RNAcentral.
GAGUUUGGUCCUGGCUCAGAUUGAACGCUGGCGGCAUGCCUUACACAUGCAAGUCGAACGGCAGCACGGGAGCUUGCUCCUGGUGGCGAGUGGCGAACGGGUGAGUAAUGCAUCGGAACGUAUCCUGGAGUGGGGGAUAACGUAGCGAAAGUUACGCUAAUACCGCAUAUUCUGUGAGCAGGAAAGCGGGGGACCUUCGGGCCUCGCGCUCUUGGAGCGGCCGAUGUCGGAUUAGCUAGUUGGUGAGGUAAAGGCUCACCAAGGCGACGAUCCGUAGCAGGUCUGAGAGGAUGAUCUGCCACACUGGAACUGAGACACGGUCCAGACUCCUACGGGAGGCAGCAGUGGGGAAUUUUGGACAAUGGGGGCAACCCUGAUCCAGCCAUGCCGCGUGAGUGAAG